ACUAAGAUAGUUUAAUUUAAAACAUCGGUUUGUGGAACUGAAAAUUUAUUUAUUUUAGUA
This 60-nucleotide transfer RNA is filed under the name Pachypsylla venusta (hackberry petiole gall psyllid). Its description in RNAcentral is "tRNA-His". Lineage: Eukaryota; Metazoa; Arthropoda; Insecta; Hemiptera; Aphalaridae. The record is from RNAcentral.